GCCGAGAUAGCUCAGUCGGUAGAGCAGAGGACUGAAAAUCCUCGUGUCGCUGGUUCGAUUCCGGCUCUCGGCACCA
This 76-nucleotide transfer RNA is filed under the name Clostridia bacterium. RNAcentral describes it as "tRNA-Phe". It matches the Rfam family "tRNA". From Rfam's summary of the family: Transfer RNA (tRNA) molecules are approximately 80 nucleotides in length. Lineage: Bacteria; Bacillati; Bacillota; Clostridia. The record is from RNAcentral.